CCACAAAUAGAGCAGAUAUAGAGUCAAGUAAGGACAAUGUGGUAUGUAACACAUGUCUGAAAGGCAAACGAACAAGGCAGCCUUUCAAGAACACUGGUACAAGAGCUUCCGCCCUCUUGGAGUUGAUACAUUCAGAUGUAUGCGGACCUAUGGAGGAAAAGUCUCUCGGAGGUGCCAGAUAUUAUGUCACAUUUCUCGACGAUUAUUCUAGAAAGGUAUUUGUUUACUUUUUACACUCUAAAUCUCAAGUACUCGAAAAGUUUAAAGAAUUUAAGAAUUUUGUAGAAAAUCAAUUAAAUGCAAAAGUUAAAACACUAACAUGUGAUAAUGGCAAAGAAUAUGUUAAUGAGGCAUUUGAUAUUUUUUGUAGAAAUUCAGGUAUUAAACGUCAGUUGACAAUACCCUAUACUCCUGAACAGAACGGUAUGAGCGAGAGGAUGAAUCGAACAUUAGUAGAACGUUCUAAGUUUAUGCUUAUGAAUUCCAGCUUAUCUAAGAUGUUUUGGGUCGAGGCGGUAGUUACAGCUGCAUAUAUAAUCAACAGAAGUCCUACAAAGUCCUUACAGUUUAAAACGCCUGAAUGUUGGGAGGAAUGAAUGGGUUGGGAAGAUGCCAUGACUGGAGAUGAGGGAGUAGAUGGAAUAUUCUCUAUCUCCCUUGGAACUUCAAAGAUUUCCUGACAUGAAAGUAGAAAAAUUAGCUUAAUCAUGCAUUUUAGCCAAAAGACAAAACAUGCCACAUUAAAUGGAAUUAAACAAUACACACGUAUAGGCCUAUUUUCGUCUCUUCAGGCCCAAUGCCUGUGGAGGCCUCUUGUCCUAUAAUGGACAGCACCUUGUUUGUAAUGUCCGACACUACUGGGACAGUAAUACAGUUCCCAGUAGUGUGCCUCGCUCGAGACGAGGCUGCAUUUUCAGAACGCGAGUUCUUCUUAAUGUCCUUCCAUGUCAAAGUAACAUUGUUACUAUGAAUAGUACUAGGAUUUUAUUGAAUAGUAAUAGCAAGAGAAUUUAGGUGCUGUAGACUUCUGUGGUGUAGACGUAGACGAGGUUUAUGGAACUGUAGACUUUAGGUUUUUUCUCUGCCCGUAGCUUUUUGCGACAUUCUUCUGUCCUAUGUCCUAACAACCUACAGAAAUUGCAACACUCUUUUAUCUUCUUCUGACCUCUUGCUAUACUCGUAUCAUUAUCAUUGUUGAGUUCCUCCACUGUUCUCGCUUUGUCUACUUCGCUGUUCGCUGUCGCUUUCGCAAGAAGGAAAUUUUCAAAACAGGAGGAGGUGGACCCCAACCACCACCACCACCUCCAACUAGUGUGAUUGUGGAGGCAAUAUUGGGUCGAGUAAUGGAAGUAUUGCCUAAUAGUUAUGAUAGUGAUGCCCUGGAUUGUAAUGAUAUAAGCACAAUUGAAAUAAAUGAGGCUACAAAUAGUCAGUAGGCUACUUCUAGUGUCGAAAGCAACAUUAUAAUCAGCAUGCCAGAGCAUGAAAAGGAGAAUUACAUCCCAGAGAGGUCCAACCAUUCAAACCAAAGUGAACCAGAGGCAUGUUUCAGUAAGUCUGAAGUAUGUAUUUAUAACAGCUAUUUCAUCGUCAAGUCAAGUUUUUUUUCAUUUCAGCACUAUGCUUUAAAAGUUACUUUGUAAAAAGGAUAUUAUGGUGCCAGAUAUGUGUGAUUUUUAACCUAAGUGUACAUACAAAUUAUACUGUAUUUUACUAGUUGGUUAUUUAGUUUUUGUAUCCUCUUCAGUACUAUGCCAUAAAAGUAUAUUAAGCUAAAUAUGGUGCCAAAUGUAUACCUAAAUUGUACCUACAUAAGAAAUAUACUGAUUUUAUUUGAUGAUUAUGAAUUCAUUUUAUUUUGUCCAUACCUACCUUCUCAAAUCCAAAAAAAAUUAAUUACUAUUCAUCAGUUUAAUUUAAUAAGAUUUUUUACUGGCCAC
This is a long non-coding RNA of Bicyclus anynana (squinting bush brown), 1940 nucleotides long. RefSeq lists it as uncharacterized. NCBI's taxonomy places the organism in Eukaryota, Metazoa, Arthropoda, Insecta, Lepidoptera, Nymphalidae. The transcript is spliced from 4 exons. The record is from RefSeq and is a predicted model, not a curated record.